AAUCAACGCUGGCGGCGUGCCUAACACAUGCAAGUCGAACGCGAAAGCCCCGCAAGGGGUAAGUAGAGUGGCAAACGGGUGAGUAACACGUGGGUGACCUGCCUUCGAGUGGGGGAUAACGUCCCGAAAGGGACGCUAAUACCGCAUGACAUCCUGCUUUUGAAAAAGCGGAGAUCAAAGCUGGGGAUCGCAAGACCUAGCGCUUGAAGAGGGGCCCGCGCCUGAUUAGCGAGUUGGUGAGGUAACGGCUCACCAAGGCGACGAUCAGUAUCCGGCCUGAGAGGGCGGACGGACACACUGGGACUGAGACACGGCCCAGACUCCUACGGGAGGCAGCAGUGGGGAAUUGUUCGCAAUGGGCGCAAGCCUGACGACGCAACGCCGCGUGGAGGACGAAGAUCUUCGGGUCGUAAACUCCUGUCGAGCGGGACGAACGCUUCGCGGAUGAAUAAUCCGCGGAAUUGACGGUACCGCUAAAGGAAGCCCCGGCUAACUCCGUG
This 500-nucleotide ribosomal RNA is filed under the name uncultured bacterium. RNAcentral's name for it is "partial 16S ribosomal RNA". It matches the Rfam family "Bacterial small subunit ribosomal RNA", at positions 29 to 507 of the family's 1533-position model. The record is from RNAcentral.